Molecule: ribosomal RNA, 253 nt
Filed under: uncultured bacterium
Lineage: Bacteria
Description: partial 16S ribosomal RNA
Rfam family: Bacterial small subunit ribosomal RNA
Source: RNAcentral
UACGUAGGGACCAAGCGUUGUUCGGAUUUACUGGGCGUAAAGGGCGCGUAGGCGGCUUGACAAGUCACUUGUGAAAUCUCCGGGCUUAACUCGGAACGGCCAAGUGAAACUGUCAUGCUAGAGUGCAGAAGGGGCGAUCGGAAUUCUUGGUGUAGCGGUGAAAUGCGUAGAUAUCAAGAGGAACACCUGAGGUGAAGACGGGUUGCUGGGCUGACACUGACGCUGAGGCGCGAAAGCCAGGGGAGCAAACGGG